RNAcentral lists this ribosomal RNA (1021 nucleotides) under uncultured bacterium. RNAcentral's name for it is "bacterial SSU rRNA". It matches the Rfam family "Bacterial small subunit ribosomal RNA", at positions 8 to 1075 of the family's 1533-position model. The record is from RNAcentral.
AGAGUUUGAUCCUGGCUCAGGAUGAACGCUGGCGGCGUGCUUAACACAUGCAAGUCGAACGAACCUUCGGGUUAGUGGCGGACGGGUGAGUAACGCGUGAGAAUCUGCCCUCAGGAGGGGGAUAACGGCUGGAAACGGCCGCUAAUACCCCAUAUGCCGAGAGGUGAAACGAAUUUCGCCUGAGGAUGAGCUCGCGUCUGAUUAGCUAGUUGGUGGGGUAAAGGCCUACCAAGGCGUCGAUCAGUAGCUGGUCUGAGAGGAUGAUCAGCCACACUGGGACUGAGACACGGCCCAGACUCCUACGGGAGGCAGCAGUGGGGAAUUUUCCGCAAUGGGCGAAAGCCUGACGGAGCAACGCCGCGUGAGGGAUGAAGGCCUCUGGGCUGUAAACCUCUUUUAUCAAGGAAGAAGAUCUGACGGUACUUGAUGAAUAAGCCACGGCUAAUUCCGUGCCAGCAGCCGCGGUAAUACGGGAGUGGCAAGCGUUAUCCGGAAUUAUUGGGCGUAAAGCGUCCGCAGGCGGCCUUGUAAGUCUGUCGUCAAAGCGUGGAGCUUAACUCCAUUUAAGCGAUGGAAACUGCAAGGCUAGAGUGUGGUAGGGGCAGAGGGAAUUCCCGGUGUAGCGGUGAAAUGCGUAGAUAUCGGGAAGAACACCAGUGGCGAAGGCGCUCUGCUGGGCCAUAACUGACGCUCAUGGACGAAAGCCAGGGGAGCGAAAGGGAUUAGAUACCCCUGUAGUCCUGGCCGUAAACGAUGAACACUAGGUGUCGGGGGAAUCGACCCCCUCGGUGUCGUAGCCAACGCGUUAAGUGUUCCGCCUGGGGAGUACGCACGCAAGUGUGAAACUCAAAGGAAUUGACGGGGGCCCGCACAAGCGGUGGAGUAUGUGGUUUAAUUCGAUGCAACGCGAAGAACCUUACCAGGGUUUGACAUCCUGCGAAUCCCUUGGAAACGAGGGAGUGCCUUCGGGAGCGCAGAGACAGGUGGUGCAUGGCUGUCGUCAGCUCGUGCCGUGAGAUGU